CCCGCGCCAGAACGGCCGGCAGUUCCAGGCGUACUCGCACUACGUCCAGCCCGGCGGCCUGGUGCAGUCGUUCAUCGACAACGUGGAC
Molecule: transfer RNA, 88 nt
Filed under: Paenarthrobacter ureafaciens
Lineage: Bacteria; Bacillati; Actinomycetota; Actinomycetes; Micrococcales; Micrococcaceae
Also listed under: 2 other names
Description: tRNA-Ala
Source: RNAcentral